This 490-nucleotide ribosomal RNA is filed under the name Clostridium fessum. RNAcentral describes it as "bacterial SSU rRNA". It matches the Rfam family "Bacterial small subunit ribosomal RNA", at positions 1 to 489 of the family's 1533-position model. Lineage: Bacteria; Bacillati; Bacillota; Clostridia; Eubacteriales; Clostridiaceae. The record is from RNAcentral.
UUUAACAUGAGAGUUUGAUCCUGGCUCAGGAUGAACGCUGGCGGCGUGCUUAACACAUGCAAGUCGAACGAAGCAAUUUAGCGGAAGUUUUCGGAUGGAAGCUAGAUUGACUGAGUGGCGGACGGGUGAGUAACGCGUGGGUAACCUGCCUCACACUGGGGGACAACAGUUAGAAAUGACUGCUAAUACCGCAUAAGCGCACAGGAUCGCAUGGUUCGGUGUGAAAAACUCCGGUGGUGUGAGAUGGACCCGCGUUUGAUUAGCUAGUUGGUGGGGUAACGGCCUACCAAGGCGACGAUCAAUAGCCGACCUGAGAGGGUGACCGGCCACAUUGGGACUGAGACACGGCCCAAACUCCUACGGGAGGCAGCAGUGGGGAAUAUUGCACAAUGGGGGAAACCCUGAUGCAGCGACGCCGCGUGAGUGAAGAAGUAUUUCGGUAUGUAAAGCUCUAUCAGCAGGGAAGAAAAUGACGGUACCUGACUAAGAA